CAUCGCCGCGGGAAUACGAAGGGGGCUAGCGUUGCUCGGAAUGACUGGGCGUAAAGGGCGCGUAGGCGGAUUGCGCAGUCAGAUGUGAAAUUCCUGGGCUUAACCUGGGGGCUGCAUUUGAGACGCGUAGUCUAGAGUGUGAAAGAGGGUCGUGGAAUUCCCAGUGUAGAGGUGAAAUUCGUAGAUAUUGGGAAGAACACCGGUGGCGAAGGCGGCGACCUGGUUCAUAACUGACGCUGAGGCGCGAAAGCGUGGGGAGCAAACAGGAUUAGAUACCCCAGUAGUCCCUGUCUCUUAUACA
This 301-nucleotide ribosomal RNA is filed under the name uncultured bacterium. RNAcentral's name for it is "partial 16S ribosomal RNA". It matches the Rfam family "Bacterial small subunit ribosomal RNA", at positions 512 to 808 of the family's 1533-position model. The record is from RNAcentral.